GUUAAGGUUAGGUUUUUGGGUUAGGGUUAGGGUAAGAUUAUGGGUUAGGGUUAGGUUUAGGGGUUAGGGAAAAAUUUGAAUGGGACUGAAUUGUGUGUCCCCACAAGGGUACAUGUACGUGCGUGCAUGUGUGUGUGUUUGUGUGUGCGUGUGCGUGAGUGAGCAGGGCUCUGUGUAUAGAAGGUUUUAUGAGGCUCAUAAGGAUGAGUCAAUUUCACGGUGAGAUAUACUGUGCUUAUAUAAACAGGAUGAACAAGAGACCCUCUCUCUCUCUUUCUCUCGCUCUCUCUGUGUCUAUCACUCUCUCUCUCGCGCUCACGCAUGCCCACAUUGUCAUUGAAGCUAAAUCAUGCUGGGAAACGGAGUUAAAGCUGUAAUUGACACAUGAGGGAGAGGUGAUAAGGGAGAGAAGGGCAGGGGGAAGGAGUAUUGUAGGUUGGAGGGAGGGAGGGAGAGAACGGCAGGAGUAGGGUAGGUUGGAGGGAGAGAAGGGCAGGAGUAGGGCAGGUUGGAGGGAGAGAAGGGCAGGAGUAGGGUAGGUUGGAGGGAGAGAAGGGCAGGGGUAGGGUAGGUUGGAGGGAGAGAAGGGCAGGAGUAGGGCAGGUUGGAGGGAGAGAAGGGCAGGGGUAGGGCAGGUUGG
RNAcentral lists this long non-coding RNA (640 nucleotides) under Salmo salar (Atlantic salmon). Its description in RNAcentral is "lncRNA (ENSSSAG00000085523.1)". Lineage: Eukaryota; Metazoa; Chordata; Actinopteri; Salmoniformes; Salmonidae. The record is from RNAcentral.